GCACUGGUGGUUCAGUGGUAGAAUUCUCGCCUGCCACGCGGGUGGCCCGGGUUUCGAUUCCCGGCCAGUGCA
Non-coding RNA from Lytechinus pictus (painted urchin), 72 nucleotides. The record is from the annotation of a RefSeq genome assembly. Lineage: Eukaryota; Metazoa; Echinodermata; Echinoidea; Temnopleuroida; Toxopneustidae.